RNAcentral lists this unclassified non-coding RNA (115 nucleotides) under Kockovaella phaffii. The record is from RNAcentral. Lineage: Eukaryota; Fungi; Basidiomycota; Tremellomycetes; Tremellales; Cuniculitremaceae.
GUGAUUUGGCUGAGAGGCCUUUAUCCAAUCCUCACACCUGUGAACUUGUCGGAGGGCUGGUCCCUCUGUCACCACAAACAAUGUGUAAUGAAUGUAACAUAUAUAACAAUAAACA